RNAcentral lists this long non-coding RNA (1315 nucleotides) under Mytilus galloprovincialis (Mediterranean mussel). The record is from RNAcentral. Lineage: Eukaryota; Metazoa; Mollusca; Bivalvia; Mytilida; Mytilidae.
AGCUUAAAUAACAGAUCUGUCAGAGUUGGCCACAUCUAAUGUUAACUAUUAGAUAAAAGAAAGUAAUAUGUGAACAACAAUAUACCACCAAAUAGGUAACAAUAUGUCAGGAUACAUGUCUUACAGAAAAUGUAUGAAGACUUACAAAUAAAUAAUAUUUACAACAUUUAAUGAAAUAAAUUAUAUUCAAUGCUAUACAUACACAAAGAAUUGUAUUAAAAAUUACUUAAACAGAGAAUGACAUUGAAAACUAACACUAGUUGUCUCCAAUUUCUGUAGACAGCAAAUGAUCUGGUAUGUUUUUCCUAUUAAUGAUUUUGCAAAUUGCUAUGCUCAGGCCCGUAGCCAGGAAUUUUCAAAGGGGGGUUCACAGUCAUAACGGUCACAAUUGGAACAGAACAUUGACUUUAACAGUGCUUAUUUGUUUUCAAGGGGGCGUUCGUCCGAAACCCCCCUGGCUACGCUAUUUAUUUACUGGUGGUAAUCCUUCAGAGAGAUGGGGUUUAAGGAGGCAGGAGGCACAUGCCCCCUCCCUUUUGUUGGAAAAAUUUUGUUAAUUAUAUAAGGAAUCACUGUAGCAUGACCAAUAAAAAAUGUUUCUACUGGUCCUUAAGUCAGGAAAAAAGGAAUAUAUUUUACUAUUUCCAGAUCUGAAAUUAUAAAAAAAUUUGUUCCCACUCGUCAUAUACAUUUUGUGGUCUGACAAAAUCUCAAACUCUUAAAAGUCAGUGUAAUUUGAGUUAGUGCUUUAAAAUGUGUUGGAUGUUAUAAUCAAAGAAAAACACAUAUAACAGGCUAUUUCAUUUCUUGUGUUUAAAUUUUUUAAUAAAUUCAAUGUUUAUUUGGUAUUAUGAUCUUUUGAGCGGUUAAUUACACUUUCCUUACAAUGUAUUUUGGUUAUAGAUAGUGUUGUGCGCGGCACAGUACAUUUCAGUACAGAAUAGACAUGUAAUUUAUCAAAAAUUUUAAUAACAAGAAAUCAAGCAAAUUCCAUAAUUAAAAAUAAUUCCAAGUUCAAAUAAUAGCCUGUUCUGGAUAGUUUGGCAAGCAAAAGGUGAUGUCAUAAUGUUUGAAUAAAGAUAUUGACUUGUUUGCUGUAGUAAAAAAAAUAUUUAUAAAAUUUAAUCUUCAUACUUGAACUAUAUUUUAACAAAAACGUAUAUGAGAAUAAAAUAUUUAAAAGGUAAAGAAAAAAAUGCCUCAACAGACCCAACAUCUAACUCCUUCAUAUAAGUGAUUAGUAUAGCACAUUCUACGUCGUUGUCUCAAAUAAUUGAGCAAACAUCAUUUUCCUUAAUAUCAAUAUCUCAAUUUG